UGAGGAAUUUUCCGCAAUGGGCGAAAGCCUGACGGAGCAAUACCGCGUGGGUGAAGAAGGCCUGUGGGUCGUAAAACCCUUUUCUCAGAGAAGAACAAAUGACGGUAUCUGAGGAAUAAGCCCCGGCUAACCCUGUG
RNAcentral lists this ribosomal RNA (137 nucleotides) under uncultured bacterium. Its description in RNAcentral is "partial 16S ribosomal RNA". It matches the Rfam family "Bacterial small subunit ribosomal RNA", at positions 355 to 507 of the family's 1533-position model. The record is from RNAcentral.